GAGGAAUAUUGGUCAAUGGACGAGAGUCUGAACCAGCCAAGUAGCGUGAAGGAUGACUGCCCUAUGGGUUGUAAACUUCUUUUAUACGGGAAUAAAGUUAGCCACGUGUGGCUUUUUGUAUGUACCGUAUGAAUAAGGAUCGGCUAACUCCGUGCCAGCAGCCGCGGUAAUACGGAGGAUCCGAGCGUUAUCCGGAUUUAUUGGGUUUAAAGGGAGCGUAGGCGGGUUGUUAAGUCAGUUGUGAAAGUUUGCGGCUCAACCGUAAAAUUGCAGUUGAUACUGGCGACCUUGAGUGCAACAGAGGUAGGCGGAAUUCGUGGUGUAGCGGCGAAAUGCUUAGAUAUCACGAAGAACUCCGAUUGCGAAGGCAGCUUACUGGAUUGUAACUGACGCUGAUGCUCGAAAGUGUGGGUAUCAAACAGGAUUAGAUACCCUGGUAGUCCACACAGUAAACGAUGAAUACUCGCUGUUGGCGAUAUACGGUCAGCGGCCAAGCAAAAGCAUUAAGUAUUCCACCUGGGGAGUACGCCGGCAACGGUGAAACUCAAAGGAAUUGACGGGGGCCCGCACAAGCGGAGGAACAUGUGGUUUAAUUCGAUGAUACGCGAGGAACCUUACCCGGGCUUAAAUUGCAACUGACUGAACCGGAAACGGUUCUUUCUUCGGACAGUUGUGAAGGUGCUGCAUGGUUGUCGUCAGCUCGUGCCGUGAGGUGUCGGCUUAAGUGCCAUAACGAGCGCAACCCUUAUCGAUAGUUACUAGCAGGUCAUGCUGAGGACUCUAUUGAGACUGCCGUCGUAAGAUGUGAGGAAGGUGGGGAUGACGUCAAAUCAGCACGGCCCUUACGUCCGGGGCUACACACGUGUUACAAUGGGGGGUACAGAAGGCAGCUACACGGCGACGUGGUGCUAAUCCCGAAAGCCUCUCUCAGUUCGGAUUGGAGUCUGCAACCCGACUCCAUGAAGCUGGAUUCGCUAGUAAUCGCGCAUCAGCCACGGCGCGGUGAAUACGUUCCCG
This 1017-nucleotide ribosomal RNA is filed under the name uncultured organism. RNAcentral's name for it is "bacterial SSU rRNA". It matches the Rfam family "Bacterial small subunit ribosomal RNA", at positions 356 to 1376 of the family's 1533-position model. The record is from RNAcentral.